AUUUGAAAUCUGGCGCAAGCCCGAGUUGUAAUUUGUAGAGGAUGCUUCUGGGUAGCGGCCGGUCUAAGUUCCUUGGAACAGGACGUCAUAGAGGGUGAGAAUCCCGUAUGUGACUGGAUUGCACCCUCCACGUAGCUCCUUCGACGAGUCGAGUUGUUUGGGAGUGCAGCUCUAAAUGGGAGGUUAAUUUCUUCUAAAGCUAAAUACCGGCCAGAGACCGAUAGCGCACAAGUAGAGUGAUCGAAAGAUGAAAAGCACUUUGGAAAGAGAGUUAAAAAGCACGUGAAAUUGUUGAAAGGGAAGCGCCCGCAACCAGACUUUGCGGCAGGGUUCGGCCGGUCUUCUGACCGGUUUACUCGCUGUCGGGAGGCCAUCAUCGUCUGGGACCGCUGGAUAAGACCUUGAGGAAUGUGGCUCGCCCUCGGGGAGUGUUAUAGCCUCUGGAGAUGCCGCUCGUCUCGAUACGAGGUCCGCGCUUCGCGAAGUGCACGUCAGAACUGCUUGUCGCCUCCCCCGUCUUGAACCUCUGACUUCAGGAGUCUAACAUCAUAUGCGAGUGUUCUUGGUGUCAAACCCCAGCUAUGCACUGUACUCAAAUCGGAUGCUGAGGAACAUUUUUGUGCACCAUCGACCGCACAAAAAUGUCCCCGCAUGGAUCUGAUUCAGAACAUGUAUGUUGUUGACCCCAAAGACGGUCAACUAUGUGUGAAAAUGCGUUAGUCCGGGGGUAAACGCCUGGGGCGGGGGUCGCAGCUGUUUCUGAUCGUGCAAUGCCGAUCGCGCAAAUCUUGGGCAUGAGGAGGCGAAAGCACUCAAUCAGAAGCAUACUACAAUCCGCGUACGUGGCCGCAGAUUUCCCUUCAGUAUAGUCAGUGACGGUCUCUCGAGCUUAUUGAUG
This 898-nucleotide ribosomal RNA is filed under the name Pseudocercospora macadamiae. Its description in RNAcentral is "eukaryotic LSU rRNA". It matches the Rfam family "Eukaryotic large subunit ribosomal RNA", at positions 113 to 942 of the family's 3401-position model. Lineage: Eukaryota; Fungi; Ascomycota; Dothideomycetes; Mycosphaerellales; Mycosphaerellaceae. The record is from RNAcentral.